Molecule: ribosomal RNA, 417 nt
Filed under: uncultured bacterium
Lineage: Bacteria
Description: bacterial SSU rRNA
Rfam family: Bacterial small subunit ribosomal RNA
Source: RNAcentral
AAUAUUGGACAAUGGUCGCAAGACUGAUCCAGCCAUGCCGCGUGAAGGACUGAAGGUUCUAUGAAUUGUAAACUUCUUUUGUAUGGGAAAAACCCCCUGGACGUGUCCGGGGCUGAUUGUACCAUAAGAAUAAGGGUCGGCUAACUUCGUGCCAGCAGCCGCGGUAAGACGAAGGACCCGAGCGUUAUCCGGAUUCAUUGGGUUUAAAGGGUGCGUAGGCGGACUGAUAAGUCAGUGGUGAAAUCUCCAGGCUUAACUUGGAAACUGCCAUUGAUACUGUCAGUCUUGAAUCUGGCUGAUGUGGGCGGAAUAUGACAUGUAGCGGUGAAAUGCUUAGAUAUGUCAUAGAACACCGAUUGCGAAGGCAGCUCACAAAACCAGUAUUGACGCUGAGGCACGAAAGUGCGGGGAUCAAAC